RNAcentral lists this ribosomal RNA (206 nucleotides) under Escherichia coli. Its description in RNAcentral is "partial 23S ribosomal RNA". It matches the Rfam family "Bacterial large subunit ribosomal RNA", at positions 315 to 523 of the family's 2925-position model. The record is from RNAcentral. Lineage: Bacteria; Pseudomonadati; Pseudomonadota; Gammaproteobacteria; Enterobacterales; Enterobacteriaceae.
AAUCAGUGUGUGUGUUAGUGGAAGCGUCUGGAAAGGCGCGCGAUACAGGGUGACAGCCCCGUACACAAAAAUGCACAUGCUGUGAGCUCGAUGAGUAGGGCGGGACACGUGGUAUCCUGUCUGAAUAUGGGGGGACCAUCCUCCAAGGCUAAAUACUCCUGACUGACCGAUAGUGAACCAGUACCGUGAGGGAAAGGCGAAAAGAA